UGGGGAAUAUUGCACAAUGGGCGAAAGCCUGAUGCAGCAACGCCGCGUGAGGGACGACGGCCUUCGGGUUGUAAACCUCUUUUAGCAAGGAAGAAGCGAAAGUGACGGUACUUGCAGAAAAAGCGCCGGCUAACUACGUGCCAGCAGCCGCGGUAAUACGUAGGGCGCAAGCGUUAUCCGGAAUUAUUGGGCGUAAAGAGCUCGUAGGCGGUUUGUCGCGUCUGCUGUGAAAACCCGAGGCUCAACCUCGGGCCUGCAGUGGGUACGGGCAGACUAGAGUGCGGUAGGGGAGAUUGGAACUCCUGGUGUAGCNGGUGGAAUGCGCAGAUAUACAGGAAGAACCACCGGAUGGCGAAGGCAGAUCUCUGGGCCCGUAACUGACGCUGAGGAGCG
Molecule: ribosomal RNA, 393 nt
Filed under: uncultured bacterium
Lineage: Bacteria
Description: partial 16S ribosomal RNA
Rfam family: Bacterial small subunit ribosomal RNA
Source: RNAcentral